CAACGAUGAAGAGUUUGAUCCUGGCUCAGGAUGAACGCUAGCGGCAGGCCUAACACAUGCAAGUCGAACGGUAACAUAAGGUGCUUGCACUUUGAUGACGAGUGGCGCACGGGUGCGUAACGCGUAUAGAACCUACCCUGUACAGGGGGAUAGCCCAGAGAAAUUUGGAUUAAUACCCCGUAGUAACUAUUGAUGGCAUCAUUAGUAGUUUAAAGUUUUCGGAUGGUACAGGAUGGCUAUGCGUCCUAUUAGUUAGAUGGUGAGGUAACGGCUCACCAUGGCAGCGAUAGGUAGGGGCCCUGAGAGGGGGAUCCCCCACACUGGUACUGAGACACGGACCAGACUCCUACGGGAGGCAGCAGUGAGGAAUAUUGGACAAUGGGC
RNAcentral lists this ribosomal RNA (384 nucleotides) under Eudoraea sp. RNAcentral's name for it is "bacterial SSU rRNA". It matches the Rfam family "Bacterial small subunit ribosomal RNA", at positions 1 to 376 of the family's 1533-position model. Lineage: Bacteria; Pseudomonadati; Bacteroidota; Flavobacteriia; Flavobacteriales; Flavobacteriaceae. The record is from RNAcentral.